UUCGGGACGCCGGCGAGUGGCGAACGGGUGAGUAACACGUGGAGACCUGCCCUGAGGUGGGGGAUAACAGCUAGAAAUGGCUGCUAAUACCGCAUACGCCUUACGAGGGAAAGAUUUAUUGCCUCAGGAGGGUUCCGCGUCGGAUUAGCUUGUUGGUGGGGUAACGGCCUACCAAGGCGAUGAUCCGUAGCUGGUCUUAGAGGAUGAUCAGCCACACUGGGACUGAGACACGGCCCAGACUCCUACGGGAGGCAGCAGUGGGGAAUAUUGCGCAAUGGGAGAAAUCCUGACGCAGCGAUACCGCGUGGGUGAAGAAGGUCUUCGGAUUGUAAAGCCCUUUCAGCAGGAAAGAUGAUGACGGUACCUGCAGAAGAAGCCCCGGCUAACUCCGUGCCAGCAGCCGCGGUAAUACGGAGGGGGCGAGCGUUGUUCGGAAUGACUGGGCGUAAAGAGCGCGUAGGCGGUUUAUUAAG
Molecule: ribosomal RNA, 473 nt
Filed under: uncultured Magnetococcus sp.
Lineage: Bacteria; Pseudomonadati; Pseudomonadota; Magnetococcia; Magnetococcales; Magnetococcaceae
Description: bacterial SSU rRNA
Rfam family: Bacterial small subunit ribosomal RNA
Source: RNAcentral